Molecule: non-coding RNA, 45 nt
Filed under: Trichobilharzia regenti
Lineage: Eukaryota; Metazoa; Platyhelminthes; Trematoda; Strigeidida; Schistosomatidae
Source: RNAcentral
AUCCAGAUAACGAGUCCCAAAUAGGACAAAAUGCACAUCCUGGAU